This 225-nucleotide ribosomal RNA is filed under the name uncultured bacterium. RNAcentral describes it as "partial 16S ribosomal RNA". It matches the Rfam family "Bacterial small subunit ribosomal RNA", at positions 524 to 747 of the family's 1533-position model. The record is from RNAcentral.
UACGUAGGGUGCGAGCGUUGUCCGGAAUUAUUGGGCGUAAAGAGCUCGUAGGCGGUGUGUCACGUCGGCCGUGAAAACCUGCAGCUUAACUGUGGGCGUGCGGUCGAUACGGGCAUCACUGGAGUUCGGCAGGGGAGACUGGAAUUCCUGGUGUAGCGGUGAAAUGCGCAGAUAUCAGGAGGAACACCGGUGGCGAAGGCGGGUCUCUGGGCCGAUACUGACGCU